This 30-nucleotide non-coding RNA is filed under the name Homo sapiens (human). Lineage: Eukaryota; Metazoa; Chordata; Mammalia; Primates; Hominidae. The record is from RNAcentral.
UCCCCUUUCUCCUUUAUUCCGUAAUAAAUA